AACGAACGCUGGCGGCAGGCCUAACACAUGCAAGUCGAACGCCCCGCAAGGGGAGUGGCAGACGGGUGAGUAACACGUGGGAACCUUCCCUAUAGUACGGAAUAGCCCAGGGAAACUUGGAGUAAUACCGUAUACGCCCGAAAGGGGAAAGAAUUUCGCUAUAGGAUGGGCCCGCGUAGGAUUAGCUAGUUGGUGAGGUAACGGCUCACCAAGGCGACGAUCCUUAGCUGGUUUGAGAGAACGACCAGCCACACUGGGACUGAGACACGGCCCAGACUCCUACGGGAGGCAGCAGUGGGGAAUAUUGGACAAUGGGGGCAACCCUGAUCCAGCCAUGCCGCGUGAGUGAAGAAGGCCCUCGGGUUGUAAAGCUCUUUUGUCCGGAAAGAAAAGCAUCUGGUUAAUACCCGGGUGUUCUGACGGUACCGGAAGAAUAAGCACCGGCUAACUUCGUG
Molecule: ribosomal RNA, 455 nt
Filed under: uncultured bacterium
Lineage: Bacteria
Description: bacterial SSU rRNA
Rfam family: Bacterial small subunit ribosomal RNA
Source: RNAcentral